GGCUAAUUAGUUUAACCUUUAAAACAAGUGUUUUGAAAACACUAAAUAAGAAAAAAUACUCUUACUAGCCG
This 71-nucleotide transfer RNA is filed under the name Thenus orientalis. Its description in RNAcentral is "tRNA-Ser". It matches the Rfam family "tRNA". Rfam says of the family: Transfer RNA (tRNA) molecules are approximately 80 nucleotides in length. Their secondary structure includes four short double-helical elements and three loops (D, anti-codon, and T loops). Further hydrogen bonds mediate the characteristic L-shaped molecular structure. tRNAs have two regions of fundamental functional importance: the anti-codon, which is responsible for specific mRNA codon recognition, and the 3' end, to which the tRNAs corresponding amino acid is attached (by aminoacyl-tRNA synthetases). tRNAs cope with the degeneracy of the genetic code in two manners: having more than one tRNA (with a specific anti-codon) for a particular amino acid; and 'wobble' base-pairing, i.e. permitting non-standard base-pairing at the 3rd anti-codon position. Lineage: Eukaryota; Metazoa; Arthropoda; Malacostraca; Decapoda; Scyllaridae. The record is from RNAcentral.